Molecule: ribosomal RNA, 28 nt
Filed under: Escherichia coli 2-316-03_S1_C2
Lineage: Bacteria; Pseudomonadati; Pseudomonadota; Gammaproteobacteria; Enterobacterales; Enterobacteriaceae
Description: partial 16S ribosomal RNA
Source: RNAcentral
AAAUGAAUACCAAGUCUCAAGAGUGAAC